Molecule: ribosomal RNA, 216 nt
Filed under: Glomeromycotina sp.
Lineage: Eukaryota; Fungi; Glomeromycota
Description: partial small subunit ribosomal RNA
Rfam family: Eukaryotic small subunit ribosomal RNA (bases 40-216)
Source: RNAcentral
GGGUCAGUAGGUUGGUCGUGCCACCGGUACGUACUGGUCUCACUGAUUCCUCCUUCCUGAAGAACCGUAAUGCCAUUAAUUUGGUGUUGCGGGGAGGCAGGACUGUUACUUUGAAAAAAUUAGAGUGUUUAAAGCAAGCUAACGCUUGAAUACAUUAGCAUGGAAUAAUGAAAUAGGACGAUCGAUCCUAUUUUGUUGGUUUCUAGGAUUGACGUA